AAAGGCUCGUAAUCGGAGGUUGUGUCUCGGACGGUCGGUUCGCCGCUUGUCGGUGCUCACCUGGCCUGUCCGGACGUCCUGCCGGUGGGGCUGUAAAAGGCUCCGUUAUCCUUCUUUGGUCCUCUUCAUUGAAUGCCUUGAUGGGCCGGCACGUUUACUUUGAACAAAUUAGAGUGCUCAGAGCAUGACGUUGGUCGCCUGAAUACUGUGUGCAUGGAAUAAUGGAGUAGGACCUCGGUUCCAUUUUGGUGGUUUUCAUAACUCGAGGUAAUGAUUAAUAGGGACGGACGGGGGCAUUCGUAUUGCGACGUUGGAGGUGAAAUUCUUGGAUCGUCGCAUGACAAACCGAUGCGAAAGCAUUUGCCAAGAACGUUUUCGUUGAUCAAGAACGAAAGUUAGAGGUUCGAAGGCGAUCAGAUACCGCCCUAGUUCUAACCAUAAACGAUGCCAGCUAGCCAUCCGCCGAAGUUCCUUAUAUGACUCGGCGGGCAGCUUCCGGGAAACCAAAGCUCUUGGGUUCCGGGGGGAAAGUAUGGUUGCAAAGCUCAAACU
This 552-nucleotide ribosomal RNA is filed under the name Boyeria sp. CAK244. Its description in RNAcentral is "SSU rRNA". It matches the Rfam family "Eukaryotic small subunit ribosomal RNA", at positions 622 to 1144 of the family's 1831-position model. The record is from RNAcentral. Lineage: Eukaryota; Metazoa; Arthropoda; Insecta; Odonata; Aeshnidae.